UGUGUUGCUGCAUGUUGGACUCCUGAAUUCAUUAUUAAAACCCCUGUUAACUCUGAUCCUUCGUCGUGCGCUUCAUUCCAAGCCAGCAGCAUCCCGUGACAGAAUGGCUAUGACCAAACAGUUGACGGCCAAGAAACGAGAGCAGAUUAUUGCGCUUCUGAAAAAGCAGAGGGAUGAGCGAAUUAAGAUUGGCUCCAAAAACCCUUUCAGCAUCUGUGGAUGAGGACCAGAAAGAAGUUCAGAAGCUCCAGUAAACAUAUUGAUGAUAUUAAAGAACAUAAUGUGUAAUUUUAGCAUAGUAAACAGAGCAAUGUAUAAGAUGUUUACUUAUGAUGCAGCUAUAUGUGUUUAUCAUAUGCCUAAAAAAUGGUCGGUUUGCCUUCAAAUAUUAAAUAAAGACCAGC
This is a long non-coding RNA of Sinocyclocheilus anshuiensis, 404 nucleotides long. RefSeq lists it as uncharacterized. Lineage: Eukaryota; Metazoa; Chordata; Actinopteri; Cypriniformes; Cyprinidae. The record is from RefSeq and is a predicted model, not a curated record. The transcript is spliced from 3 exons.